CACACACCAGAGGGCAAACCUAUGACAGUGUGGGUUUCAUUGUAGAUGGUGGUUGCCUGGCAACCAAGGCCAGAGUUUAGAAGGUAGAAGGAAAGAGGGACUCAGAAAGACAACUGUGGGCAGGACAUCUCUGUUCCCAUCCUUCCUUGAAAACUGAGCUAGCCCCUAGAACCCAGGGCCAACCCAGGAGAGGAACCAAGAGCAUCUACUGAGAUCCUCAUGAUCAAAAGUGCCCACAAGUCCCUGAUCACCACGAAUCUAGGCUACUUAAGCCUAAAGAUGGUCCUGAGUUCAGUUCCCAGCAACCACAUGGUGGCUCACAACCACCCGUAAUGAGUGCGUCUGAAGACAGCUACAGUGGAUUACUCAGCUGGAGAAAGUGUGGCCGGAGAGAGCGGGGCCGUCCUGAGUCAAAUUCCCAGCAGCCACAUGAUAGCUCACAGCCAUUUGUACAGCUACAGUGUACUCAUACACAUAAAAUAAAAAAAUAAAUCUUUAAAAAAUUAUUUUUAAAAAGAUGUCAGUCCAUAGUUCUUGUUGUUUUCCUCCCUUUUUAAGACAAGGUCUCCCUAUAUAACUGCUCAUCCUGGAACUCAUUACAUAGACCAGAUUGGGCUUGAACUCAC
Molecule: long non-coding RNA, 626 nt
Organism: Mastomys coucha (southern multimammate mouse)
Lineage: Eukaryota; Metazoa; Chordata; Mammalia; Rodentia; Muridae
Exons: 4
Source: RefSeq, a predicted model, not a curated record